This 1402-nucleotide ribosomal RNA is filed under the name uncultured bacterium. RNAcentral describes it as "16S ribosomal RNA". It matches the Rfam family "Bacterial small subunit ribosomal RNA". The record is from RNAcentral.
AGAGUUUGAUCCUGGCUCAGGAUGAACGCUAGCGGCAGGCUUAACACAUGCAAGUCGAGGGGCAGCGGGGAGGAAGCUUGCUUUCUCCGCCGGCGACCGGCGCACGGGUGAGUAACACGUAUGCAACCUGCCCCUGUCAGGGGGACAACCCGCCGAAAGGCGGGCUAAACCCGCGUACAUGCCACCGGGGCAUCCCGGAGGCAGGAAAGGCUUCGGCCGGACAGGGAUGGGCAUGCGGCGCAUUAGGCAGUAGGCGGGGUAACGGCCCACCUAACCGACGAUGCGUAGGGGUUCUGAGAGGAAGGUCCCCCACACUGGUACUGAGACACGGACCAGACUCCUACGGGAGGCAGCAGUGAGGAAUAUUGGUCAAUGGUCGGGAGACUGAACCAGCCAAGCCGCGUGAGGGAUGAAGGUACAGAGUAUCGUAAACCUCUUUUGUCAGGGAACAAAGGCGGGGACGCGUCCCCGGAUGAGUGUACCUGAAGAAAAAGCAUCGGCUAACUCCGUGCCAGCAGCCGCGGUAAUACGGAGGAUGCGAGCGUUAUCCGGAUUUAUUGGGUUUAAAGGGUGCGCAGGCGGUCUGUUAAGUCAGCGGUCAAAGCCCGGGGCUCAACCCCGGCCCGCCGUUGAAACUGGCAGUCUCGAGUUGGAGAGAAGUAUGCGGAAUGCGCGGUGUAGCGGUGAAAUGCAUAGAUAUCGCGCAGAACUCCGAUUGCGAAGGCAGCAUGCCGGCUCCACACUGACGCUGAGGCACGAAAGCGUGGGUAUCGAACAGGAUUAGAUACCCUGGUAGUCCACGCAGUAAACGAUGAAUGCUGGCUGUCCGGGGGGACUGACCCCUGGGUGGCGAAGCGAAAGCGAUAAGCAUUCCACCUGGGGAGUACGCCGGCAACGGUGAAACUCAAAGGAAUUGACGGGGGCCCGCACAAGCGGAGGAACAUGUGGUUUAAUUCGAUGAUACGCGAGGAACCUUACCCGGGCUCAAACGGGGAGUGACUCAGGCAGAGACGCCUGUUUCCCACGGGACACUCCCCGAGGUGCUGCAUGGUUGUCGUCAGCUCGUGCCGUGAGGUGUCGGCUUAAGUGCCAUAACGAGCGCAACCCCCGCGUGCAGUUGCUAACAGAUAACGCUGAGGACUCUGCACGGACUGCCGGCGCAAGCCGCGAGGAAGGCGGGGAUGACGUCAAAUCAGCGCGGCCCUUACGUCCGGGGCGACACACGUGUUACAAUGGGUGGUACAGCGGGAAGCCAGGCGGCGACGCCGAGCGGAACCCGAAAUCCACUCUCAGUUCGGAUCGGAGUCUGCAACCCGACUCCGUGAAGCUGGAUUCGCUAGUAAUCGCGCAUCAGCCAUGGCGCGGUGAAUACGUUCCCGGGCCUUGCACACACCGCCCGUCA